ACACAUGACCUCUGUCCUUCCAGCUGCCACCAGUUUCUGGGUUGUCGAGUGAUACCCUGAAAGUUUACAGUCAACACUCCUUGUGUGGGGUCAGUCCUAGAAAUGGCGACGCUGCUCUCCGAAGAUAGGAAAGAAAAGGACCUCAUUCCAUUGAGCCAUUGACCGAAAUAUUUUCUCAACAAAGUUGAACUGAGCUGAAACUGUGUGAAUCAUGGCAAUACAGUGAAAGACAGUGAUUUACUGCUUUUGAGGGCGUGCAUGUAUAUGAUUAACGGAUGGAAGUGCAGGACUCCAAGAUUUACUUCCUUCCCUUUCCAGCAGAAUUACCUGAGACGAGUAAAAUCUACUGGUGGAGUCACUCCAUUAUUCUUAUCUGUGGAGAUCUAGAUCUUGAUUUGAAAGUUUCUGAGAAAAUCUUCAGCUCAGACUUGAGGGUCAACUUUACCAGCUGAAGUGACUACAUCCUGCCUGCUUUCAGCUCCAGUGGAAAAUGCAUUAAUCCCAGAGUCUCCGUGAGGUUUCCUGUUUGAUGACAUAAUCAGAAAAUCCUCCUCACAUUGCCCUUGGGGUUGCUGUCUGGAUGUUAUGUUGUCUUGGUGGGUGUAACUCAGCCAUCAAAAAAAUCAGCACAGGCCAUAAACUCAGGACCUGAAAUGCAUUAAUAUAAUGUUAAACGAAAUAACGCUGUGGGUAUGUCUGCAGCACUGGUAGGGAAUUUCAUUAAACUGCAGAUUCUCCCU
RNAcentral lists this long non-coding RNA (740 nucleotides) under Homo sapiens (human). RNAcentral describes it as "cancer susceptibility 15". Lineage: Eukaryota; Metazoa; Chordata; Mammalia; Primates; Hominidae. The record is from RNAcentral.